Molecule: long non-coding RNA, 1251 nt
Filed under: Nicotiana tabacum (common tobacco)
Lineage: Eukaryota; Viridiplantae; Streptophyta; Magnoliopsida; Solanales; Solanaceae
Description: long non-coding RNA (NTAB_LNC016606)
Source: RNAcentral
AACGAUCGAGCCCGAAAUUUGUAUUGGUCAUUUGUUCUCUCAAGAACGUGUGAUUAAUACCAAUAUCGGUUCAAAUUAGAAAGUGCUAGAGGUCCGUUCAAGCCAACUGUCCGUCUGCCUAUUUUAGGUAUCUCCGUUCAUUUUUUCUCCGUCCUUUGUUUUAUUCCCAUCCUCGUCUCCUUCUGAUUCUUUCUUUUUCUUUCUUGUUUAAAUCGUUUUUGCUUGCAUGUUAGGAGUAAGUCAUGUUAUUUUAUAGUAUUUAGCUUAAUAAUACGGUCAACAUUGUUGUUAGUUCAUUUGAUUUCGUUAUUUGAUUUUGCUUAAUUCUCCAUUUAUUUUUGUUUCUUUGGAAUUAUGAUAUCAGGAGUUUAUAACUCCGUUGGCCUGUUUUCUUGUAGGUUGCUGUUUUUGAAUUAAAAUUUGGGCUUCGUAGGUCAGAAGCCCAAAGAGGGGAAGGGACAAUUCUGGCUGUCAAGCCCAUGGGUUAGGUUUGAGAUUUGGGUUAAUUUGACCCAUGUUUUAUUUCCUGAAGGUAAAUAACAGAAGAUUAAAGAGUAUUUAGGGCAUUUGUUAUUGGAAGAAUCUUUCACAAUUGCCUGAGAAAUUUUCAGGAAGGUGGGAUUGAGGCUGGUUUAACAAACAUGCUAAAAACUUGGGGUCUAAGGUGAGAAAAAUGAAAUUGGGGAAGAGGUAAAUGGUGAAGUUAAGAAUCAGAUUUUGCUGCCCUAGAAUUUAUCUAUAAAAAGGCCACUUCCUGCAUUCUUCUAGGAGAGAUUUAGAGACCUAAAAAAUAGAAACGGCUGAAAUUUUCUGAAAAAUAUCAGUGCUAGUCUUCAACUUUUCCAUUCUUUUCUCUUCAAGAAGUUAAAGGGAAACUAGCUAUUCAAUUUCUGGUGAUUUGGCAUGAAUGAAAUGAUGUAAUUUGAAGCUAACAUUGAUUACUACUGCUGAUCUUUGCUGCUUCUUUUGUUCUUUGUCAAGCUCAGAGUUUAUUCCUUUGUUGUCUCUUGUUGUUCCAGGUACUCAUUUGAAUCUUGAGUGAUAAAUGGAGCUUGAAUGUGCUUGUGUGAAGGAUGUGUUUCCGUAGAAGUUAAUGGAGAUCUUUUGUUUGGAUGUUAUUUUUCAUAUGUCCUUUUAAGCCAUUUAGUUUCCCCCUCAUUUCUUCUAUUCUGUCUCCUUCUUAUUAUGUGUAAUUCUGUUAUGUUGAUCCUUGGCUCAUGAAGUUAUUCAGUGGCAAAUGCUUAGUAAUCC